GUGGGGAGAGGAAGGCCGAGGGAGGAGAGGAAGAGAUUGGAUCCGGCGCCCUGCUAUGGGUGUCUCCAUCUGGGCUGCUGCUAGAAGGGGCGGUUGUUCUUUUUUUCUUUUUUAGACGGAGUUUUUUUGCUCUGUCACCCAGGCUGGAGUGCAGUGGCAUGAUCUCAACUCACUGCAACCUCCGCCUCCCAUGUUCAAGCGAUUCUCCUGCCUCAGCCUCCCGAGUAGCUGGGACUACAGGCAUGCACCACCACACCCAAAUAAUUUUCUAUUUUUAGUAGAGACAGGGUUUCUCCACAUUGGUCAGGCUGGUCUUGAACUCCCGACCUCAGGUGAUCCUCC
This 342-nucleotide long non-coding RNA is filed under the name Homo sapiens (human). RNAcentral's name for it is "HSALNT0341513". Lineage: Eukaryota; Metazoa; Chordata; Mammalia; Primates; Hominidae. The record is from RNAcentral.